Molecule: ribosomal RNA, 2784 nt
Filed under: Bacillus cereus ATCC 14579
Lineage: Bacteria; Bacillati; Bacillota; Bacilli; Caryophanales; Bacillaceae
Description: LSU rRNA
Rfam family: Bacterial large subunit ribosomal RNA
Source: RNAcentral
UUUGGUUAAGUUAGAAAGGGCGCACGGUGGAUGCCUUGACACUAGGAGUCGAUGAAGGACGGGACUAACGCCGAUAUGCUUCGGGGAGCUGUAAGUAAGCUUUGAUCCGAAGAUUUCCGAAUGGGGAAACCCACCAUACGUAAUGGUAUGGUAUCCUUAUCUGAAUACAUAGGGUAAGGAAGACAGACCCAGGGAACUGAAACAUCUAAGUACCUGGAGGAAGAGAAAGCAAAUGCGAUUUCCUGAGUAGCGGCGAGCGAAACGGAACAUAGCCCAAACCAAGAGGCUUGCCUCUUGGGGUUGUAGGACAUUCUAUACGGAGUUACAAAGGAACGAGGUAGACGAAGCGACCUGGAAAGGUCCGUCGUAGAGGGUAACAACCCCGUAGUCGAAACUUCGUUCUCUCUUGAAUGUAUCCUGAGUACGGCGGAACACGUGAAAUUCCGUCGGAAUCUGGGAGGACCAUCUCCCAAGGCUAAAUACUCCCUAGUGAUCGAUAGUGAACCAGUACCGUGAGGGAAAGGUGAAAAGCACCCCGGAAGGGGAGUGAAAGAGAUCCUGAAACCGUGUGCCUACAAAUAGUCAGAGCCCGUUAACGGGUGAUGGCGUGCCUUUUGUAGAAUGAACCGGCGAGUUACGAUCCCGUGCGAGGUUAAGCUGAAGAGGCGGAGCCGCAGCGAAAGCGAGUCUGAAUAGGGCGUUUAGUACGUGGUCGUAGACCCGAAACCAGGUGAUCUACCCAUGUCCAGGGUGAAGUUCAGGUAACACUGAAUGGAGGCCCGAACCCACGCACGUUGAAAAGUGCGGGGAUGAGGUGUGGGUAGCGGAGAAAUUCCAAUCGAACCUGGAGAUAGCUGGUUCUCCCCGAAAUAGCUUUAGGGCUAGCCUUAAGUGUAAGAGUCUUGGAGGUAGAGCACUGAUUGGACUAGGGGUCCUCAUCGGAUUACCGAAUUCAGUCAAACUCCGAAUGCCAAUGACUUAUCCUUAGGAGUCAGACUGCGAGUGAUAAGAUCCGUAGUCAAAAGGGAAACAGCCCAGACCGCCAGCUAAGGUCCCAAAGUGUGUAUUAAGUGGAAAAGGAUGUGGAGUUGCUUAGACAACUAGGAUGUUGGCUUAGAAGCAGCCACCAUUUAAAGAGUGCGUAAUAGCUCACUAGUCGAGUGACUCUGCGCCGAAAAUGUACCGGGGCUAAAUACACCACCGAAGCUGCGGAUUGAUACCAAUGGUAUCAGUGGUAGGGGAGCGUUCUAAGGACAGUGAAGUCAGACCGGAAGGACUGGUGGAGUGCUUAGAAGUGAGAAUGCCGGUAUGAGUAGCGAAAGACGGGUGAGAAUCCCGUCCACCGAAUGCCUAAGGUUUCCUGAGGAAGGCUCGUCCGCUCAGGGUUAGUCAGGACCUAAGCCGAGGCCGACAGGCGUAGGCGAUGGACAACAGGUUGAUAUUCCUGUACCACCUCUUUAUCGUUUGAGCAAUGGAGGGACGCAGAAGGAUAGAAGAAGCGUGCGAUUGGUUGUGCACGUCCAAGCAGUUAGGCUGAUAAGUAGGCAAAUCCGCUUAUCGUAAAGGCUGAGCUGUGAUGGGGAAGCUCCUUAUGGAGCGAAGUCUUUGAUUCCCCGCUGCCAAGAAAAGCUUCUAGCGAGAUAAAAGGUGCCUGUACCGCAAACCGACACAGGUAGGCGAGGAGAGAAUCCUAAGGUGUGCGAGAGAACUCUGGUUAAGGAACUCGGCAAAAUGACCCCGUAACUUCGGGAGAAGGGGUGCUUUCUUAACGGAAAGCCGCAGUGAAUAGGCCCAAGCGACUGUUUAGCAAAAACACAGCUCUCUGCGAAGCCGUAAGGCGAAGUAUAGGGGGUGACACCUGCCCGGUGCUGGAAGGUUAAGGAGAGGGGUUAGCGUAAGCGAAGCUCUGAACUGAAGCCCCAGUAAACGGCGGCCGUAACUAUAACGGUCCUAAGGUAGCGAAAUUCCUUGUCGGGUAAGUUCCGACCCGCACGAAAGGUGUAACGAUUUGGGCACUGUCUCAACCAGAGACUCGGUGAAAUUAUAGUACCUGUGAAGAUGCAGGUUACCCGCGACAGGACGGAAAGACCCCGUGGAGCUUUACUGUAGCCUGAUAUUGAAUUUUGGUACAGUUUGUACAGGAUAGGCGGGAGCCAUUGAAACCGGAGCGCUAGCUUCGGUGGAGGCGCUGGUGGGAUACCGCCCUGACUGUAUUGAAAUUCUAACCUACGGGUCUUAUCGACCCGGGAGACAGUGUCAGGUGGGCAGUUUGACUGGGGCGGUCGCCUCCUAAAGUGUAACGGAGGCGCCCAAAGGUUCCCUCAGAAUGGUUGGAAAUCAUUCGUAGAGUGCAAAGGCAUAAGGGAGCUUGACUGCGAGACCUACAAGUCGAGCAGGGACGAAAGUCGGGCUUAGUGAUCCGGUGGUUCCGCAUGGAAGGGCCAUCGCUCAACGGAUAAAAGCUACCCCGGGGAUAACAGGCUUAUCUCCCCCAAGAGUCCACAUCGACGGGGAGGUUUGGCACCUCGAUGUCGGCUCAUCGCAUCCUGGGGCUGUAGUCGGUCCCAAGGGUUGGGCUGUUCGCCCAUUAAAGCGGUACGCGAGCUGGGUUCAGAACGUCGUGAGACAGUUCGGUCCCUAUCCGUCGUGGGCGUAGGAAAUUUGAGAGGAGCUGUCCUUAGUACGAGAGGACCGGGAUGGACGCACCGCUGGUGUACCAGUUGUUCUGCCAAGGGCAUAGCUGGGUAGCUAUGUGCGGAAGGGAUAAGUGCUGAAAGCAUCUAA